CAUCUAAGCACGAAACUUGCCCCGAGAUGAGUUCUCCCUGAGACUUUAGGUCUCCUGAAGGAACGUUGAAGACGACGACGUUGAUAGGCCGGGUGUGUAAGCGCAGCGAUGCGUUGAGCUAACCGGUACUAAUGAACCGUGAGGCUUAACCUUACAACGCCGAAG
This 165-nucleotide ribosomal RNA is filed under the name Salmonella enterica. Its description in RNAcentral is "partial 23S ribosomal RNA". It matches the Rfam family "Bacterial large subunit ribosomal RNA", at positions 2778 to 2925 of the family's 2925-position model. The record is from RNAcentral. Lineage: Bacteria; Pseudomonadati; Pseudomonadota; Gammaproteobacteria; Enterobacterales; Enterobacteriaceae.